UGGGGAAUUUUGGACAAUGGGCGCAAGCCUGAUCCAGCCAUGCCGCGUGCGGGAAGAAGGCCUUCGGGUUGUAAACCGCUUUUGUCAGGGAAGAAAUCUUCUGAGUUAAUACCUCGGGAGGAUGACGGUACCUGAAGAAUAAGCACCGGCUAACUACGUGCCAGCAGCCGCGGUAAUACGUAGGGUGCAAGCGUUAAUCGGAAUUACUGGGCGUAAAGCGUGCGCAGGCGGUUUUGUAAGACAGAGGUGAAAUCCCCGGGCUCAACCUGGGAACUGCCUUUGUGACUGCAAGGCUUGAGUGCGGCAGAGGGGGGAUGGAAUUCCGCGUGUAGCAGUGAAAUGCGUAGAUAUGCGGAGGAACACCGAUGGCGAAGGCAAUCCCCUGGGCCUGCACUGACGCUCAUGCACGAAAGCGUGGGGAGCAAACAGGAUUAGAUACCCUGGUAGUCCACGCCCUAAACGAUGUCAACUGGUUGUUGGGAAGGUUCCUUCUCAGUAACGUAGCUAACGCGUGAAGUUGACCGCCUGGGGAGUACGGCCGCAAGGUUGAAAC
Molecule: ribosomal RNA, 553 nt
Filed under: uncultured bacterium
Lineage: Bacteria
Description: partial 16S ribosomal RNA
Rfam family: Bacterial small subunit ribosomal RNA
Source: RNAcentral